This 1501-nucleotide ribosomal RNA is filed under the name Lactiplantibacillus plantarum. RNAcentral's name for it is "bacterial SSU rRNA". It matches the Rfam family "Bacterial small subunit ribosomal RNA". Lineage: Bacteria; Bacillati; Bacillota; Bacilli; Lactobacillales; Lactobacillaceae. The record is from RNAcentral.
UCAGGACGAACGCUGGCGGCGUGCCUAAUACAUGCAAGUCGAACGAACUCUGGUAUUGAUUGGUGCUUGCAUCAUGAUUUACAUUUGAGUGAGUGGCGAACUGGUGAGUAACACGUGGGAAACCUGCCCAGAAGCGGGGGAUAACACCUGGAAACAGAUGCUAAUACCGCAUAACAACUUGGACCGCAUGGUCCGAGUUUGAAAGAUGGCUUCGGCUAUCACUUUUGGAUGGUCCCGCGGCGUAUUAGCUAGAUGGUGAGGUAACGGCUCACCAUGGCAAUGAUACGUAGCCGACCUGAGAGGGUAAUCGGCCACAUUGGGACUGAGACACGGCCCAAACUCCUACGGGAGGCAGCAGUAGGGAAUCUUCCACAAUGGACGAAAGUCUGAUGGAGCAACGCCGCGUGAGUGAAGAAGGGUUUCGGCUCGUAAAACUCUGUUGUUAAAGAAGAACAUAUCUGAGAGUAACUGUUCAGGUAUUGACGGUAUUUAACCAGAAAGCCACGGCUAACUACGUGCCAGCAGCCGCGGUAAUACGUAGGUGGCAAGCGUUGUCCGGAUUUAUUGGGCGUAAAGCGAGCGCAGGCGGUUUUUUAAGUCUGAUGUGAAAGCCUUCGGCUCAACCGAAGAAGUGCAUCGGAAACUGGGAAACUUGAGUGCAGAAGAGGACAGUGGAACUCCAUGUGUAGCGGUGAAAUGCGUAGAUAUAUGGAAGAACACCAGUGGCGAAGGCGGCUGUCUGGUCUGUAACUGACGCUGAGGCUCGAAAGUAUGGGUAGCAAACAGGAUUAGAUACCCUGGUAGUCCAUACCGUAAACGAUGAAUGCUAAGUGUUGGAGGGUUUCCGCCCUUCAGUGCUGCAGCUAACGCAUUAAGCAUUCCGCCUGGGGAGUACGGCCGCAAGGCUGAAACUCAAAGGAAUUGACGGGGGCCCGCACAAGCGGUGGAGCAUGUGGUUUAAUUCGAAGCUACGCGAAGAACCUUACCAGGUCUUGACAUACUAUGCAAAUCUAAGAGAUUAGACGUUCCCUUCGGGGACAUGGAUACAGGUGGUGCAUGGUUGUCGUCAGCUCGUGUCGUGAGAUGUUGGGUUAAGUCCCGCAACGAGCGCAACCCUUAUUAUCAGUUGCCAGCAUUAAGUUGGGCACUCUGGUGAGACUGCCGGUGACAAACCGGAGGAAGGUGGGGAUGACGUCAAAUCAUCAUGCCCCUUAUGACCUGGGCUACACACGUGCUACAAUGGAUGGUACAACGAGUUGCGAACUCGCGAGAGUAAGCUAAUCUCUUAAAGCCAUUCUCAGUUCGGAUUGUAGGCUGCAACUCGCCUACAUGAAGUCGGAAUCGCUAGUAAUCGCGGAUCAGCAUGCCGCGGUGAAUACGUUCCCGGGCCUUGUACACACCGCCCGUCACACCAUGAGAGUUUGUAACACCCAAAGUCGGUGGGGUAACCUUUUAGGAACCAGCCGCCUAAGGUGGGACAGAUGAUUAGGGUGAAGUCGUA